Molecule: long non-coding RNA, 260 nt
Filed under: Capsella rubella
Lineage: Eukaryota; Viridiplantae; Streptophyta; Magnoliopsida; Brassicales; Brassicaceae
Description: long non-coding RNA (CRUB_LNC004845)
Source: RNAcentral
GACUUUUUUUUAACAAAUCUUGUAUGUAUGGUACAUCGACUUGUUUAACCAUUUGUGGCUUGGUAAGUUUUAGUUCUUCUAGAGAUGUUUGGCUAAAGGGUAGAUGUUGUUUCUUGUUGCUUCUGUUGUUUCGCCAUGUAAGUACCAUCAAGAAACUAAAAAAGGACUCUCUAAAGCUCCCAAUUGGUAACUAUCUAUUCUGAUACGAUCAUGAAAGAUUGGUAUGUUAGAAUGUAAAUAGACUUCUCUCACUUUAUUUU